GCGCGCGGCGCGUUCGGCGCCUGUUGGAGAUGCUCUUGCUUAAAAAAAAAACUCUCCCUCUCGUCUAACCCUAGCGCCGCCUCUCAUCUCCGGCUGCUCGCCGGUCAUCGCCCCGCCAAACGCAGCCGCACCCCCGUCACCCCCGGCUGCUUCCUUGCCUUCCCCGCCGUCCUCGGCCGUAGGACGCCGCCACACUUCCUAUCUGCAUCGUCCUGCUGGCGGAUCGAGGUCACGGCACUGACGACCCAUCAUCUCCGACGGCGGAUCUGGCCGUGGGCGAGGAUGCCGAGCCACCUGCUCCAGUCACGGCCAUCCCGACUCCUCGUCCACCCCCUGCCCCGUCCGGUUCAUUUUGGUUCGUCCUUCAUCCCGUCCACGCCGAUUUUGUUUACCUUAUUACGAUGUCCCACCUCAUCUCGUGCUCCUGACAUGCCGAGGGGGCGAGAGGAGUAAGAGAGCAGGGACGAGUGCGCAGUGGAGGAAGAUGCCUGCCGUGAAGCUGCCAAGCGAGAAGACAGAGGAGGAGCGAUACUUGCGGAGGCGGCCGAGAUCGGGUACUACAUCUUCUUAGAUCUUUGCCGUCGUCUAGGUCAGGCCUCCCUCAGAUGCCCUGAUCCUCCAUCAUCAGGGAUGCCCUGCACUCUCCUCUCUAUGUCUGCUAGCGGUGGCGGCUGCCGGAAAUAGAGGGGACCAGUGGCAACGUGGAAUGGUACCCACGGGCGUUCUGGUACAGCGAGAGAGGAAGCAGAUGAAUGUGCCACAUGUGAGAGGGAGAGGUCUGUAAUGGUAUCUGGUGGUGGCCUCUUGAAAAGAACCCAAGAUUCUCACUAAUAUCCUGUAGCUUGCUGUGUUCUUCGGGCUCUCUCAAACGACAAGAAGAUGAGUUACAGCGAAUUAUACAUCUCACCCCAUUGUUUGUACAAUGGUAUCCACUUUGAGUAGUAGUGUUGUGGGUUGUGGCUAACUGGCUAUGUGGAUUUGUCAGUGAUUUGCUAGCUUUGAUGUGUUUCGGUUGGAUGAAAUGGAGUGUGUUGGUGCAGGUGCGAUGCAUCCGAUUGAGUAUAGGAGGACCGAGGACAUGUGGUGAGGCGCUGUGCCCUGUGGCACAACAACAAGGGUGCGCACAAGCUGACCAGCGUCUAGCUCCAUGGCAUCAUCAAUGACAGAACCAGAGGAACAAAUGAUCGUCAAUGGUGCACUAAACCAUGAGAGUGUGGCGCCUUCUGUGUUGUGGACUUGGCAUGGGCUGGCUUCUGUUCACUGCUGUGUUCUUGCUGCCAUUCCGCGGUAUAUUGGAGUGUUUCAUCCUAAUAUAUGUCUGGUUACAUGACCACAAAGAGAAAGAAGGGUAUGAUGUAAGCAAACGUGGACACUCAAGAAGAAGCUGAAAAAUCAGUAUUGGAACCCAGCGAGGAAAUCUGAAAGCAUAGACCAUGUUUAAGAACUGGUUGUUUUUGUUGUGCUAUUUUUAAGAAAAAGGAUUGUCUCGAAGGAAAUGAAGCUUACCAACAAGGAAAUUAUGGUGAGGAGCACUCUUCUGCCCCCUUGGUAAUACAGAGAUGCAAUGCAAAGCGAGGAAAUCUCUGAAAGCAUAGACCAUGUUUAAGAACUGGUUGUUUUUGUUGUGCUAUUUUUAAGAAAAAGGAUUGUCUCGAAGGAAAUGAAGCUUACCAACAAGGAAAUUAUGGUGAGGAGGCACUCUUCUGCCCCCUUGGUAAUACAGAGAUGCAAUGCAAAUGUUAUGUAUUGUGCUUUUGCUUGUUCAAGGGACCUCCUAAUGACACACGAUGGAAACGGAUCCAUGGAUUAAUUCAGAUGGCAUUAAUUGGAGAGAAGGGAUCUAGCUAGGUUUGCAAUGGCAUGUGUACUACCAAAAAGUAACAUCCUCAGGGCAUCAGGGGUGGCACACACGUCCCACUUGGUGGCGGUGGCAGAUCGGCAAGAACAAGGGUGGGGUUGUAUUAAGGAGGAGAGCGGGGCGGUUGGCGAGGGACUCCUCCUUGGCGGUCCGUGGGGAAGUAAGGUGAGGUGGGUCUCAUUACUAGAGCCAUAUGACCAAAAAGAUGAUAGGAAAGGCUCUUUCCAAGCAUACAAGCAUAAGGUCAAGUUUAUUUCAUCAUCGAUCCAAAUAUUGUUCCAUAGAAUAAUUGUGUCACCAGCUCUAGGAAUGCAAGUUGUAACCCCUUUGUAUAUGUCCAUGAACGAGAACACAUCGUUCUGUAUAUCUUUCCGUAAAAGAACUGUGCAAAAAUUUCUUAAGCGCAACAACUAGAUAUUAAUUUGUAAUAGAAUUUUAGUUGGAUCAUCGCUCUAUAUGUACACAUCAUUAAUUUAUCAUUUUUUAUCAAUUUA
Non-coding RNA from Aegilops tauschii subsp. strangulata, 2352 nucleotides. NCBI's taxonomy places the organism in Eukaryota, Viridiplantae, Streptophyta, Magnoliopsida, Poales, Poaceae. The record is from RefSeq and is a predicted model, not a curated record.